This is a long non-coding RNA of Lates calcarifer (barramundi perch), 283 nucleotides long. RefSeq lists it as uncharacterized. The transcript has 2 exons. The record is from RefSeq and is a predicted model, not a curated record. Lineage: Eukaryota; Metazoa; Chordata; Actinopteri; Centropomidae.
GAAGAGUCCAGAAAGUGGAAUGAAUCUGAGUAAAUGUAGAAAGUCUGAGAAGAAUGUGCUGCUUUAGAAUUAUCAAGUAGGAUUUUAUCAGCAGUUUAUAUCAUCAGAGCCUCAGUAUCAGCAGUGUGGUGUCAACAUUUAACACAACGUGUGUGUUUUAUAACCUGAAGGUUUAUUGAAAACUCAUGUGUAACUGAAUUGAAUAUAAAUCAGAUGAAAUUCAGUUGAAAAUAACUUGAAAAAUAAACUUUGAUUAAAACAUGGAAUUUAUAUUUCAUAUUCA